UACGUAGGGUGCAAGCGUUGUCCGGAAUUAUUGGGCGUAAAGAGCUCGUAGGCGGUUUGUCGCGUCUGCUGUGAAAACGCGAGGCUCAACCUCGCGCCUGCAGUGGGUACGGGCAGACUAGAGUGCGGUAGGGGAGAUUGGAAUUCCUGGUGUAGCGGUGGAAUGCGCAGAUAUCAGGAGGAACACCGAUGGCGAAGGCGGGUCUCGUGGGCAACAACUGACGC
This 224-nucleotide ribosomal RNA is filed under the name uncultured bacterium. Its description in RNAcentral is "partial 16S ribosomal RNA". It matches the Rfam family "Bacterial small subunit ribosomal RNA", at positions 524 to 746 of the family's 1533-position model. The record is from RNAcentral.